Pygocentrus nattereri (red-bellied piranha) is the source of this 54-nucleotide small nuclear RNA. Its record names the gene U7. It matches the Rfam family "U7 small nuclear RNA". Rfam says of the family: Animal histone pre-mRNAs are spliced by a different mechanism than nuclear pre-mRNAs and self-splicing introns. This processing involves the U7 snRNP, which contains only one RNA species: U7. The 5' end of U7 RNA is thought to base-pair to a conserved spacer element downstream of the cleavage site in histone pre-mRNA. The record is from Ensembl. NCBI's taxonomy places the organism in Eukaryota, Metazoa, Chordata, Actinopteri, Characiformes, Serrasalmidae.
AAAAAUUGCUCUUUUAGAAUUUGUCCAGUAGGUUUCUUCUAAAAUGAACCCCCC